GACGAACGCUGGCGGCGUGCCUAAUACAUGCAAGUCGAACGCACUCUCGUUUAGAUUGAAGGAGCUUGCUCCUGAUUGAUAAACAUUUGAGUGAGUGGCGGACGGGUGAGUAACACGUGGGUAACCUGCCCUAAAGUGGGGGAUAACAUUUGGAAACAGAUGCUAAUACCGCAUAAAACCUAACACCGCAUGGUGUAGGGUUGAAAGAUGGUUUCGGCUAUCACUUUAGGAUGGACCCGCGGUGCAUUAGUUAGUUGGUGAGGUAAAGGCUCACCAAGACCGUGAUGCAUAGCCGACCUGAGAGGGUAAUCGGCCACACUGGGACUGAGACACGGCCCAGACUCCUACGGGAGGCAGCAGUAGGGAAUCUUCCACAAUGGACGAAAGUCUGAUGGAGCAACGCCGCGUGAGUGAAGAAGGUUUUCGGAUCGUAAAACUCUGUUGUUGGGGAAGAAUGUAUCUGAUAGUAACUGAUCAGGUAGUGACGGUAUCCAACCAGAAAGCCACGGCUAACUACGU
This 519-nucleotide ribosomal RNA is filed under the name uncultured bacterium. RNAcentral describes it as "bacterial SSU rRNA". It matches the Rfam family "Bacterial small subunit ribosomal RNA", at positions 28 to 506 of the family's 1533-position model. The record is from RNAcentral.